CCUACGGGCGGCAGCAGUGGGGAAUAUUGGGCAAUGGGCGCAAGCCUGACCCAGCAACGCCGCGUGAAGGAAGAAGGCUUUCGGGUUGUAAACUUCUUUUCUUGGGGACGAACAAAUGACGGUACCCCAGGAAUAAGCCACGGCUCACUACGUGCCAGCAGCCGCGGUCAUACGUAGGUGGCAAGCGUUAUCCGGAUUUAUUGGGUGUAAAGGGCGGGUAGGCGGGAAUGCCAGGCAGAUGUGAAAACUAUGGGCUCCACCCAUAGCCUUCAUUUGAAACUGUAUUUUCUGAGUGCUGGAGAGGACAUCGGAAUUACGUGGGUAGCGGUGAUAUGCGUAGAGAUACGGAGGAACACCAGUGGCGAAGGCGGAUUGCUGGACAGUAACUGACGCUGAGGCGCGAAAGCGUGGGGAGCAAACAGGAUUAGAUACCCCUGUAGUC
RNAcentral lists this ribosomal RNA (442 nucleotides) under uncultured bacterium. RNAcentral describes it as "partial 16S ribosomal RNA". It matches the Rfam family "Bacterial small subunit ribosomal RNA", at positions 338 to 795 of the family's 1533-position model. The record is from RNAcentral.